Molecule: long non-coding RNA, 400 nt
Organism: Pipistrellus kuhlii (Kuhl's pipistrelle)
Lineage: Eukaryota; Metazoa; Chordata; Mammalia; Chiroptera; Vespertilionidae
Exons: 2
Source: RefSeq, a predicted model, not a curated record
UGAAAAUAUAUUUGUUUUCAGAGAGCGACAGAAUGCCCCAGGUUUUCCCUUCAUUUUUAUUUGAUGCCAAUUUCUCUUCCAUGAGUCCUAGCCAAUGUUAGUGGCAACCAGGACAAUGGAUAAACUCUGGCACCAGGAGUGCCUAUUAGACAUGACCACUGAUGGGAGGCAUGAAACACCACAGGCUGCUUAAGAAAAAAGCCAUUUUAGAGAACAAAAGGGCUUCUAAUUUAACAAAAAAGCAAGGAUAUGGAUUCAUAAGAAAAGAUACAGGAAAAAAUACACCUGACUCCAGAGGACAUGAUGGAAUACAGUGUGAGUGCAAGAGCUUUAAAAGUUGAUGUGGUUCUGUAGAAAGCACUCUUCUUUGUAUUUACAUUAAAAUUAUUUUUUAAAUCUU